Diachasma alloeum is the source of this 650-nucleotide long non-coding RNA. RefSeq lists it as uncharacterized. The record is from RefSeq and is a predicted model, not a curated record. The transcript is spliced from 3 exons. NCBI's taxonomy places the organism in Eukaryota, Metazoa, Arthropoda, Insecta, Hymenoptera, Braconidae.
AGUCGUCAUCGUCGGGGUUUAUCAGUAUCGUAUCAUCUUUUUUUGCCAAGACACAUAUCAUUUAUAGAAUUAAUAAAUCAUCAAAGGAAAAUUAUUUUUUGGUUGAUUUUUUUUUUUGAAAAAUAAAGAAUAUUAUAUAUUUAAAUCACAAUUUUUGUGCUUCUCACUCUUGAGAAGCAUAUUUUAGAGUAUAUCUUGAUCGAAAACAAGAUGAAAAGUACCAUAAAAUGCCGGGAAACUAGUGGCCCACUGACAUUAAUGACGUUGUAAAGAAGAAUGAAAAUGUUCUCUACAUACUCCACGAUGCAGUAACGCCUGAGAAAUUAACCCUCGAGCGACAAGAGAAGCCUGAAGCCUGCCAACAGUGCGACAACACUAUGGAUACCCUAUACAGCGGUGCAGUAAUUCAUGGUCUUAACAGGCAUGCCGCUGGGACAAAUGGCAUUUCAUCGGGUAUCGCUGGUGCGCUUGAUCAAGACGGUGUCCUCAGUCUUAUUGUUGUUCUCGGUGGUAGCCUAUCGUUAGUUGCCCUUGUAUUUGCAUUCAUUACGUACAGUUUAUUCUCGGAUUUACGCAGUUUGGCUGGUACAACCCUCAUGAAUCUUUUAGCAGCUCUCUUCAUGGUACAGCUUCUGUUCAUAGUUGGUGUU